Rattus norvegicus (Norway rat) is the source of this 123-nucleotide small nucleolar RNA. The record is from Ensembl. NCBI's taxonomy places the organism in Eukaryota, Metazoa, Chordata, Mammalia, Rodentia, Muridae.
GUGUGUAUAUCAUCGUUAAAAAUAUUUUUCUUUGUUAAUUAAACUUUGGGACAUUGAAAUUGGCUGAGGGAAAUAAACUGAAUAGAGAAUAUUACUCUAUUCAUAUACUUCUAGGCUACAUAA